GCUGGAUUAGCUCAGUAGGUCAGAGCGCCGUUCUGAUAAAGCGGAGGUCCGUAGUUCAAGUCUACGAUUCAGCAC
This 75-nucleotide transfer RNA is filed under the name Rhodococcus phage Grayson. Its description in RNAcentral is "tRNA-Ile". It matches the Rfam family "tRNA". From Rfam's summary of the family: Transfer RNA (tRNA) molecules are approximately 80 nucleotides in length. Their secondary structure includes four short double-helical elements and three loops (D, anti-codon, and T loops). Further hydrogen bonds mediate the characteristic L-shaped molecular structure. tRNAs have two regions of fundamental functional importance: the anti-codon, which is responsible for specific mRNA codon recognition, and the 3' end, to which the tRNAs corresponding amino acid is attached (by aminoacyl-tRNA synthetases). tRNAs cope with the degeneracy of the genetic code in two manners: having more than one tRNA (with a specific anti-codon) for a particular amino acid; and 'wobble' base-pairing, i.e. permitting non-standard base-pairing at the 3rd anti-codon position. Lineage: Duplodnaviria; Heunggongvirae; Uroviricota; Caudoviricetes. The record is from RNAcentral.